UACGGAGGGUGCAAGCGUUAUCCGGAUUCACUGGGUUUAAAGGGUGCGUAGGCGGGCAGGUAAGUCAGUGGUGAAAUCUCCGGGCUUAACUCGGAAACUGCCGUUGAUACUAUUUGUCUUGAAUAUUGUGGAGGUAAGCGGAAUAUGUCAUGUAGCGGUGAAAUGCUUAGAUAUGACAUAGAACACCAAUUGCGAAGGCAGCUUACUACACAACGAUUGACGCUGAGGCACGAAAGCGUGGGGAUCAAACAGG
This 253-nucleotide ribosomal RNA is filed under the name uncultured bacterium. RNAcentral's name for it is "partial 16S ribosomal RNA". It matches the Rfam family "Bacterial small subunit ribosomal RNA", at positions 524 to 776 of the family's 1533-position model. The record is from RNAcentral.